AGCUUUUGAGCUAAAUAUAUUAUAAUAUUAGUUAUUUAUAUAAAGUGUUGUAAAAUUUUAUUAAAAAAUAUAUUUAGGGGUGAUAGGCUAUUCAAAAACUAAGAUAUCUUGAAUCAAUUAAAAGUAUGAGUACAUUUCAACACGACUAUUUAAGUGAUAAGGCUUUAUAGAAAUAUUAACUUUUUUAUAAGAUUUUUUAUUUAUUAUAAUUUAAUAACUAAAUAUUAUUAAUAAAUUAUUAUUCAUAUAUAUUUAUUUAUAUGGAGUAUUUAGAUAAAUUUUAGUUCAUAUAAAUUCUAAUAAUGUUUAUAUUAGUAUAUAUUUUUAUUUUUAUUAGAUGAACUCGGCAAAAAUGUAUUUCUCAACUGUUUAUCAAAAACAUAACUAUGUGAGAAAAUACAUAGCGGUUUCUGCUCAAUGAUUUAUUUAAAUAGCCGCAGUAUUCUGACUGUGCAAAGGUAGCAUAAUCAAUUGACUUAUAAUUGAAGUCUAGAAUGAAUGAAAAUAAUGGGAAGCCACUAUAUUUAGUAAACUUAUAUAAUUUAUUUAUGAAGUGAAAAUACUUCUAUAGACAUAAUAGACGAGAAGACCCUAGAAAUUUUUAGUAAUUAAAAUUUUUAUUUGAGAAUUUUUUUGUUGGGGCGACAAAGUAGCAUAUAAAACCUACUUUAAUUAAACUUGCACUUUUUUUAUUGUUUGAACAAAUUACUCUAGGGAUAACAGCAUAAUAUUUUUAAAGUUUAUGACCUCGAUGUUGGAUUAGGAAAUAAUAACUUAAAAGGUUUUUUAUAUUUGCUCUGUUCGAGCAUUAUACUCCUACAUGAUC
This 826-nucleotide ribosomal RNA is filed under the name Mandarina sp. A AD-2005. RNAcentral describes it as "partial 16S ribosomal RNA". Lineage: Eukaryota; Metazoa; Mollusca; Gastropoda; Stylommatophora; Camaenidae. The record is from RNAcentral.